UACGAAGGGGGCUAGCGUUGUUCGGAAUUACUGGGCGUAAAGCGCGCGCAGGCGGUCUUCCAAGUCAGUGGUGAAAGCCCGGAGCUCAACUCCGGAACUGCCAUUGAAACUGUUGGACUUGAGUAUGAGAGAGGUGAGUGGAAUUCCCAGUGUAGAGGUGAAAUUCGUAGAUAUUGGGAAGAACACCAGUGGCGAAGGCGGCUCACUGGCCCGGUACUGACGCUGAUAUACGAAAGCGUGGGGAGCAAACAGG
This 253-nucleotide ribosomal RNA is filed under the name uncultured bacterium. RNAcentral describes it as "partial 16S ribosomal RNA". It matches the Rfam family "Bacterial small subunit ribosomal RNA", at positions 524 to 776 of the family's 1533-position model. The record is from RNAcentral.